UCUUGAGACCGCCCCAGCCCCGAGACAAGCAGCCACCGAGAUCCGAGAUCCGAGAUGAGCCGCCUUCGCUGAGGAACGAGAGGAGCCGCCGCCUCGAGGUCGUCGUUGUGCCACACCGCCGCCUCUAGGUCGCCGCUGUCACGCACUGCCUCAGGUCCGUUGACCACUCCUCUCCUCGCCACUCCUCACUGCCAGCCCCGCAAAGCUUUGCCUCCACGGCGGGGAUUCGCUCUAUGGCGUCCAUGAGAGGUGGCUGCAGCCGCCAUGGUGUUGAUCCGGUCCUUGCUGCUGGAUCCGGCCCUCUCCACUCCUCCUCUCGGUCCGAUCCAAUGGAGACCACACGACGUCGACCUCCCGGAUGGCGUGAGGUCCCAGUGGCAACGUCAGGCCCCUUGCGGUUGGGGUCGAUUUGAGGUGGCUCUGGUGGAAACAUGGACCACGUCACACUGUUACAGGGGCUCCCGAGGCGACAUCCAGUUGCUCCGUGCGCGGGGAUUAUUUUCACCUCUGUUUACUGUUGCGUUUAUUUUGCAGGCCAAAAACAGGUGAGCGAAUCGGGAUUUAGUCAUGCGAGAUUUUUUGCGAUGAUGUUGCUCCAUGUUCUUUUUGUGAUUCACGUGUUCGUUUUGCACAUGUUCAUAGUGGGCAACCUCGACGUCGUCGUCACUUCGAGCGCGGCGAGAUCCUCGAGGUCGUCGUCAUCACAGACAAGGGCACUGGCAGAUCCAAUGGCGGCGGAUUCGAGGCGGAGGCGGCCAUUAGGGCAUGCUUGAGUCCGUACCCGAUGAUUGGUGGCCGAAGGGCAACUGCAACCUCGCAUGCCUCGGGUCCAGAGGUCCAAGGCACCACAACCAACUGCUCUUCAGACAUAUGAUGGGUGUCCGUGUUGAACAUAGAAGAUGGUUGCCCUUCAAGCAUCAACAAAUUGGAAAUUUCAAGCCCUGAUGAGAUUACAAGCAGGGCGGAAAGGGAAUCAACACCAUCACGCCAAAACAUUGAAGGUGAAUAAGUGAACCACUAUUUAAGUAAAUAGAUGAAACAUAUUUUGUUAGAAUUAACCAGUUGCUGCUAAUAUAAUCCUCUCCAGGAAGAUCAGUUUCGGUCAAUACAAUCUGCUAUUUACUUUCUAAUUUCUAUGUAUUUAAGCAUGUUCAAACUCAGUACAAUUGUACAAAUGGAUAUAUUUUGAUUUGGUGACUUGCUAGAGACGAUUGUUCUGGACAGAACCUGGACCUUAUAAUAUCUACCUAUAUAUAUGUUUCUGGCUGCAUGUCUACUUAUUCUCUUAAGGCCACAGUAGGACCGAUCGACACUAGAUAUAUCUAAUAACUGUAUCAUGGUUUUCGCAUUUUUUUUUAAAAAAAAUAACUGUAUCAUGGGAUCACAUGCCAUUCUUUUUGCUGAAAAAUCACCUGGCUUUAUUGGAAAUGAAUUACCAGGACAGUUCCUGUGCACAUUAUGCUUGGUUAACACCUUUCAUUUAUCACAAACUAAUGGGGAAUAAACACUAAGUAUGCAUGUCUUCCUAUCCUUCUGAUCAUAGCCAUCUUUGGUGUCAAGUGAUAUUAAAAUUCUGAAACUACACACACAUAGUUUAGGGGUUGUUCAUACAAUAAUCUUGAUAAGUAUGUGUCUGUAAAAUCAGCAGAAGUGGUUGUUCCUUUAGGUUGCUAGAAAUGCUUUUAGCUACAACAUUAUUUCUGUCAAAAACAUUCCAGCUGCCACAUGUGUACUCGUUUCAUUGUGUAGUGUAUUUCCGAAAAUGAUAAUUCCUAUGAUUCAAAGUUUUUGGACUAAGUUUGAAACUCGAAGGACGACUGCCGUAGUAGGAUGAAGAAAUGAUGUCGCGCACUGGAGGGUGUUGCCGUCGGCCAUGCGUUAGGUGUCUGUUCUACUGGAAGUCGCUCCCAGGAGGGCGUCCAUGGUCUAUGCCUCGAGAAGCAAAGAAGGGACUCCAACUACAUCAUUGACGCAGCAGCCGAGCAGAGCAUGAAAGCAUGUCGUUGAUACAAAUAUUCAGUUGCCACGGCCAUUGAUACAACAGCGGGGCAGAUCAUGAAUGUCAGAGACACGGUGGAGGUGACGCUACCUUUCUCGUCUUGGCAUCAUGCAGAUACUGGUAGUUUAGAUGUUAUUUGCCACACUGCGGAGAUCUCAUGUUCAAGCCCAUCAGAAGUGCAGAAUUUUGGUCGAUGUAAAUGAUUUUACUUGAGCAGACACUUCUCCUCCCGUCUCAUUUACCAUCAGUAUUGGAAUUGGAUGUUGUUCCUAUUACACAACAAAAUGGGCAAGGUUAGGUUGCAGUUCAGUGUGGCAUUCUGGCAUAUGUUUCGGGGUACUGGAGGAGAUCCUUUUGGUGCACCUACAAAGAACUGGCCUUGGGAUGAUGGCACAAAUUCCCUGGCCAUGGCUAAGAGAAGAAGUAUGGGAAUUACCUGAUCUUGUGUCUUAGGUCCAUGGCUGGAAUCAACAACUUAAUUAUGCUUCGAUUUCUGUUUCGGUGAUAUCUCAAUUCAAGUUCAUGAAGAAGCUUGGAGUUGACAGGUGGUGCUUCCAUGACAGGGACAUCGCCCCUGAUGGCAAAACACUCACGCACAAGGAAUAUGGUUGUUGAUGGUUUACGCCCCGGCUGCGCCCACAUCAUCCAGACACCAAGUUCAAGACCAAGUUCUAACCCCUGUACCCAAUCUACCUCCAUGGAUCGUGUCUCUCACUAACCAAGAGCAUCAAUUCAACUCAACAGAUUGACAAAAGAGAUGAACCUAGAGUUUGAGGCUUGGGUAGUGUGGACAUUGACCUGAUGAUGAGUGUUGUAUGGUGGUCAAGUGGUGCCACUUCCCCUCGCCACACGCUGCUUAGUGUGCUCUCUGUUGGUGUUUGGCUGCUGCUGCUGCUGUAGGUCAAGAAGAAGGGAGCAAGCGGCAGAGAUUAUGAUAUUGCUGCUACUGGGAGAAAGAAAGAAAAGGUAGUCCAUGGUGGGCCACAUCCUACGUGGCGGAUCGACCAUGCGCGUCUAUGAGCCUCAUAUACUCCCCAUAUUUCGUGUCAGUGUGAGAGUUUGCGGAUAGCCUGGACCGGGGAUGAUAUAAGGGGUCGGGUUGGGUUACCAUUUUCCUUCUCUCUCCCGUGCGGUCAAUGAUCGGGCAUGUCCAUAGAUUUGAGGGGACCAGCUGGAUGUGCUCUAAGAUUAUUGUGUUUAAUAAUAUGAUGUGUGUUAGCCGACUGCCGAAAAAAGAUGUGAGUUAGCUUAGACGACAUUGUUCUCGGUAAUAUUAACUCAGUGAGUAGUACCUUAUAUUUUUUUUCCAAAGGCCCGUGGCAACGCACGGGCGUUUUACUAGUAUUGCAUAAGAAGCAGGUGACAUGUAAUUGCAUUACUUUAUCGCUAUGCGAUAGCAAUAGUUGCAAAAGCAAUAGCUGGUGAGACGACCAUGUGACGACACGUUGAUAAAAGAUCAAGAUGAUGGAGAUCAUGGUAUCAUGCCGGU
Triticum aestivum (bread wheat) is the source of this 3488-nucleotide RNA transcript. RefSeq lists it as uncharacterized. NCBI's taxonomy places the organism in Eukaryota, Viridiplantae, Streptophyta, Magnoliopsida, Poales, Poaceae. The record is from RefSeq and is a predicted model, not a curated record. The transcript is spliced from 7 exons.